ACAUCCACAAGCAAGAGCCCGACUACACAUCCAAAGUGCCAAUCCCUUAAGAAGCUGUGCGAAGGUCCGAGGAUCCUUCUCCAAAGAAAUCUUAGACACCAACAGUGGGAUGUCGAAUUGAGGCAUUUGCAUUUGUUUCAAAUACAAUUCGGGUUGGCUGUGAUUCAAUUAAAUGGUGCCUCACAAACCCGUGGUUUCGGGUUUCUAGAGCUUAAUUGCUCAAUCCCUUGCAAAUAUACGGGGUUUGUAGCUUAUUUGAUGUUCAAUAAAUUUGACGAACAUGAGAUAGAAGCCUAUGUGAGGGUUCAUGUGCUAUGCGGGCUAUCUGGGGAACAAGUAAAGAUGCAGGGCGCUAAAGGAGUGAAGAUCUUUGGGAGUGAUGACGAAGUUGGUUUUCAUGAAAUCCUCACCUCAGCCUGUUAGGUGUGGGUUACGAGAGCGGGGCUGGUACGGGACUGGAGAAGGACCGAGAAGGUUGCUGACUGUAUGCAAAAGGUUCAUUAGUUGAGGAUGAUUUUUCCAAGAAAGAAAAGAUCGCGGCAUUCAGGCUGAUCUAAAGAAUAUUAUGUUGAAAUUGCACCUGACGAUCUUACAAGAAGAAGACGAAGAAGUACCAGAUGACCUAUUCACAGAGGAGUCGAAUCUAACUAAAAGAAAGAAGGGUCAUACCAAAUAAUGUCAAAUUAAUUCAAGAUUGGAAGACUUUCCUUGCAAAGAAGAUGACUCUAAGAUGAAAUUGACAAAAGCGAAACAUUCAGAGAGAUGAAGUCUAAGCUACUCCCGCACACAUGUAGACGCAAAGGAUAUGCUAGGUUGGCGGAGGAUUUGAAAAGAAAAAGUGUAGACCCUUCUCUAGUUUCUAGAGGUGAUGUUUGGAUUUCAGCACAUACUAAGAAGGGUGGUGGACCAUCCAAUUUGCUUGCUGCGGAGACUAUUCAAUAUGGAAAUGGAUCAUCAUCUGGUUUUCGAGGUGACGUUCUUUCCAAAGUUUUUGGUGCUGAGCGCCAUGGUUGUGCAAGAGGAGUCGGAGGUGGUGUUCCUCCUACAAAGCUUGAAAUAUUAUAUUUUCAGAACAGAAAUUGCGUAAUCACCAGAUGGAUGAAAAGGUGCACAAUUUAACUAAUCGGGUCAGAGCACUGACAGAAUUGGUGCAUCUUUUUAUGAAAAAUCAGCUUAGUGAUUUAAUAACAUUGGGAUCAUAUUGAAUAUUUGUGAA
Long non-coding RNA from Pyrus x bretschneideri (Chinese white pear), 1216 nucleotides. RefSeq lists it as uncharacterized. The transcript has 5 exons. The record is from RefSeq and is a predicted model, not a curated record. Lineage: Eukaryota; Viridiplantae; Streptophyta; Magnoliopsida; Rosales; Rosaceae.